Molecule: unclassified non-coding RNA, 4793 nt
Filed under: Hevea brasiliensis (rubber tree)
Lineage: Eukaryota; Viridiplantae; Streptophyta; Magnoliopsida; Malpighiales; Euphorbiaceae
Source: RNAcentral
CAAAAACAUGUUCAUCUUCAUCAUAAAAUUCAAAUUCAGGAGAAGCAAAAAUAUAAGAAAUUUUAAAAAAUGAGACGCAAAGAGUCAAAAAGCACAGCAAGAGAAGGGAAGAGGAGAGAGAGAGAAACUAUACAAAGCGUACACAUAACAUGACAUACACUCACAUGGUAGUUUUGAAGAGAGAGAUAGAAGAGGUACUUGCCAUCUGUUGUACCAGAAAGAGCACUAUUCGGGUUCUCCAAAGCCAAACCCACGCUUCUCUCUCUAUCUCUCUCUUUUCUAUAGUGCUUUGUUAACCUUGAUGAGGCUGAACAAAACCCGCCUUUUAGUUUUCUCUCUCACUUUUGAGCAAAACCCAUUCAAUUUUUUCAGCUUUCGUACCCUAAAUUGUAUCUGAUUGCUGAGCUCUGAUCCUCUUCCAAUGUUUAUUAUAAUAUGCAUUGUCAUGGGUAUAUCAUUAAUGGAUGUGAUUACUUGUGAAUAUAUCUAGCACCCUAUGAAGUUGUUGCAUGUCAUUUUGGAGAUCUAGUUUCUAUUGUGAUAGGCUUAUCUUGUGUUUGAACUUUGAAGUUAUUUGCAUAGCAAAGGAUAGAGACUGUGGGACUCUAGUCAGUUUGUAGUAAUGCUCAGCUCAACAAUUGAGGAUUUGAGUAAUGAUGGCUUUGGGGGUUCACAACAUGAGAAAUGUAUUUUUGCAGAAGUUUUCUUUGGAAAAGAUACUGGGGGCACAAGUAAAAGGAGUCAGGUUAGCGGGUUGAUUAAUUUUGAGUGCGAAAACAGUAAGAUUGCUGACACAUCAUUAUGUUCUAACAGUGAAAACUCAGCCCUGACAAGCCAAUGUUCCUCCAAGAGUUCACUAGUGGAUGAUUCUGAAAUGAAUGAGAAUUCUGGAGGAGCUUCUGCAUCAUGUUGUUUUCAAGAAAGAUUAGAUAGGGAUGACCAGAAUAUGAGUAUCAAGCGGAUGAAGUUUUCAGUUGAUGGUCCAUCCGGCACUGAACCAGAUACAGUAAAAAUUCUCACUUCAACUGUGGUACCUAAAGAAAUUGUUGAUGGUGUGCCUGCUGCAAAUAGAGAUUUGGCUGGUCAAACAACAGUGUUAUAUAUAGUUGAAUCAUCCUGUCAGGAUGCUGUGUCUAGUUGCUAUCUGUCAAAGCAACAAAUUAAAUUGGACAGAGUUGGUGAUGUAUGCGAUAAGGAUGUCUUGAAGUGCAGAUUGCCAAAUGCUGAUGGAAAUGCUGGCAAGGAGGUGGUUAUUUGUAAAGCUGUUGCUUCACCUGUUUCCCAAGAGAGCUUUGCCACCAGGCUUUUUCAUGCAAAACCUUCUGCGGCAAUUAUAGAGAAGUCUGGCUCUCCUAUUCGUGCUGAGGAAAGAUUGAAGGAAUUGGAUUCACCAGGAUUGGGUGUAUCCAAUUACUUGAAGACUGAUUCUAAGAAGGAUCCUCGUCCUUUUCUCCAGAGCCAUAUUGUUCGCAUACUUUUGGCGGCGGGCUGGUUUAUUGGAAAGCGUAAGAGACCUAGUCGGAAAUACUCGGAGACUGUUUAUCGUUCUCCUAGUGGGAGAAUGUUUCGUGAGUUUCCUAAAGUUUGGAGGUUGUGUGGUCAAAUUUUAUAUGAAGAUGGAUACAAAUUGGCGCAGGAAGAAAAUUUUAAGGAAUGGACUAAUAUCACUCAGUUUUGGUCUGAUCUCUCAGAAGUAUUGUUGAAUAUUGAGAAAGAAAUAGAUCAAACUGAUGUUGGUAAUGCGUUGGCUCAUCAGUGGAGUCUUUUAGAUCCCUUUGUUAAUGUUGUGUUCAUUGAUAGGAAGGUUGGUUUGCUGAGAAAGGGAGAUACUGUUAAAGCUGGGAAAGGUGAUACUGUUAUGGCCUUGAUGAAUGAUGAUAGUGCACUACACCAGUAUGCCGGGGGAAAUGUGCACUCUUGGCAUAGUGAUUCUUCUCUUGCCACUCAAAAUGCAUCAACAAUUUGGGAAGGAAACCAGCAUGCCUGUAUUCAGCAAUCUGGCGACAUAAGUUUCUCAAAAUAUGGUGAACAGACAAAUGGAUUUGUGAAAGGUCAUGAAAAUCAAUCUAUUUAUGUAGUUGAGAGAGAAGAAAUGUGUUCAGUUGAUGUUGCCAGUGGGAUUGGAAAUCAGUCUUUCAGAAUGUGCAAGGACAAAGUAAGCUGUCUGGAUAUGACUUCCUUACCACCUUGUGGAUCAGAAAGCACUUGUGUCCAGUUGUCUGGUUGCCAAUGUGAUGCCUCUGUUACUGAUGGAAAUGCUAACGUGCUGGGGGGAUCUGAAUCUGCUUCCCCUCAUCAAGAUAGCAGUUUGGUUGAUGUCGAUGAUCGAAGUGGUCACUUGGAUUUUUCUAAUGGCCAAGAUGAACCAACUUAUACUCAAUCUGUAAAUUUGGAUGUUGCACAGCAAACUGAGCUCAGUUAUGAGGAUGGACAGUGCAUUCAAGCUUCAAGUUUUAAAACCAAGGAUAAAACUGUUGUUGUGAAAAGGAAGACGCGCAGGAAGUCAAGAAAGAUAUCUGAGAUCAGAACAACUUUAUACCAAAGCAACCAUAUUCAUACAGAUGGCAACCAAUUGGAGCCAAAAGAAGUGAAGGAAAACCUUGUUGCCAAUUCAGGAAUUAAAACAAGCUGCAAGAAGUUGUCACCUGUUGCUACUUGCCUACGUCAGGCUGAUGGAAAAGGAUCAAAAUUAAAGAAGAUGCAUCAUAAUCUUGAUGCUUGUAAAAGAGGACAAAAGAGGCCAACUAGAUGCCUACUUAAGGAUGAUGAUCUCUUGGUGUCUGCCAUUAUUAAAAACAAAGAUUUCAGCUCAGGUGCUACCAAAUCUACUUAUAAAAGGAAGGCCUUCAAAUCAAGAGCUCAGAUAAAGCUCAAGAAUCAGAAAGGUGGCUGCAGUUUACUCCCUAGAAAUCUAAGCAAAGUGGGGAAGCAAUACAAUGAUGGCAAGUGGUCAAUAGGCGGAACUAGAACAGUGUUGUCAUGGUUGGUCCAUAAUAGGGUUAUAUCUGUCAAUGAUGUGAUUCAGUAUCGGAACCCCAAGGAUGAUGCUGUAAUUAAAGAUGGUCUGGUUACAAAGGAUGGCAUCAUCUGUAAGUGCUGCAAUACAGUGCUUUCGGUUUCUCAAUUUAAGAAACAUGCUGGCUUCCAGCUGAGUCGUCCAUGUUUAAAUCUUUUCAUGGAAUCUGGUAAGCCUUUUACUCUAUGUCAGCUGCAAGCAUGGUCAGCUGAAUACAAGACUAGGAAAAAGAGAACUCAAGUGGUGCGAGCUGAUGAUGAUGAUCAAAAUGAUGAUUCAUGUGGCCUAUGUGGUGAUGGUGGUGAGUUGAUAUGCUGUGAUAACUGUCCAUCUACCUUUCAUCAGGCCUGCUUGUCUACAGAGGAGCUCCCUGAAGGCAGCUGGUAUUGCCCAAACUGCACCUGUUGGAUAUGUGGGGAUUUGGUUAAUGAUAAAGAGGAUUCUAAUUCUUUUGGCGUAUUGAAAUGUUCACAGUGCGAGCACAAAUAUCAUGAAACAUGCUGGAAAAGGAAAAAUAUAUAUGAACAAGUGGCUUCUGAUACUUGGCUUUGUCGUGAAAGUUGCCGAGAGGUUUACUCAGGUCUUCAUUCUCACGUAGGAAUCAGUAAUCCUAUUGCAGAUGGCUUUUGUUGGACACUUCUUAGAUGCAUUCAUGAAGACCAAAAGGUUCAUUCUGCUCAACGAUUCGCCCUAAAGGCAGAAUGGAACUCAAAGUUAGCUGUUGCUCUUACUAUUAUGGAGGAAUGCUUUCAAUCUAUGGUAGACCCAAGAACAGGCAUAGACAUGAUACCUCAUGUUUUAUACAAUUGGGGGUCUGAAUUUGCUCGUCUAAAUUUUCAUGGCUUCUAUACUGUGGUCUUGGAGAAAGAUGAUAUACUUUUGUCUGUAGCAUGCAUCAGGGUACAUGGAGCAACUGUAGCUGAGAUGCCUCUUAUUGCCACUUGCAGUAAUUACCGUCGUCAUGGAAUGUGUCGACGCCUUAUGAAUGCUAUUGAGGAGAUGCUGAUAUCUUUCAAGGUGGAAAAGCUUGUUAUAUCUGCCAUUCCAGAUUUGGUGGAGACAUGGACAGAGGGUUUUGGCUUCACACCUGUGAGUAAUGAUGAAAAGCAAAGUCUGAACAAGACAAACUUGAUGGUGUUCCCAGGAACAAUAUUGCUAAAAAAACAAUUGCAUGGAACAAACAAGGCAGAUACACAAUCGGAAUUUGGUACUUGUCUUGUGGGUGAGCAUGGCAUUGAGUCCUUAGAGCAAUUUGAUAGAAACCGCUUUGUCCAUGAAGAUACUGUCAAAAUGGAUGCCAAACUAGCUGAGAUCCAGAAUUUGCAAGAAUCAGAAUUUAGUGGUGGAAGGGAAACUGCUGAUGCUGUUAAAGGACCAGGGCAUGCAUCACCCUCGGUGAGAAAUGAACCGACUAAAUUAGGUGUUUAUUCUGAUGAAGAGCCUCCUGUCGAGUCUAUAGAGCCUUCUGACGGAAAUUAUUACUCAAAUGAAGAUGCUGCUAAAUUGGAGGAAGAGAAAUUGAUAGUAGUGGAAAGCCAAGAUAGUAAUUUGCAGGAACAAUUUUCAAAGCUAUCCUGCGAAGUAGGAAGAAACCAGGCUGAAUUGGCUUGUAAUGUUCAAUCUGUAAAUGAUGAGCCUUCUUUGGACGGAAAGCUACAUCAGGUUUUUGAGAUAAAUGGGAAGAAAUAAAUUUGUAAAUUUUGAAAGUCGUGUUUGUUGCUUGCUGUGCCUGAGUGCAUGUACACACACACGCAUACACGGGCGAUUGAGGACGGGC